This 67-nucleotide transfer RNA is filed under the name Mystus cavasius (Gangetic mystus). Its description in RNAcentral is "tRNA-Ser". Lineage: Eukaryota; Metazoa; Chordata; Actinopteri; Siluriformes; Bagridae. The record is from RNAcentral.
GAAAGAGGCCCAGGGCACUAAGAACUGCUAAUUCUUACCACCACGGUUAAAUUCCGUGGCUCAUUCA